Molecule: ribosomal RNA, 446 nt
Filed under: uncultured bacterium
Lineage: Bacteria
Description: partial 16S ribosomal RNA
Rfam family: Bacterial small subunit ribosomal RNA
Source: RNAcentral
CCUACGGGAGGCAGCAGUCGAGAAUCAUUCACAAUGGGGGAAACCCUGAUGGUGCGACGCCGCGUGGGGGAAUGAAGGUCUUCGGAUUGUAAACCCCUGUCAUGUGGGAGCAAAUUAAAAAGAUAGUACCACAAGAGGAAGAGCCGGCUAACUCUGUGCCAGCAGCCGCGGUAAUACAGAGGUCUCAAGCGUUGUUCGGAAUCACUGGGCGUAAGGCGUGCGUAGGCUGUUUCGUAAGUCGUGUGUGAAAGGCGCGGGCUCAACCCGCGGACGGCACAUGAUACUGCGAGACUAGAGUAAUGGAGGGGGAACCGGAAUUCUCGGUGUAGCAGUGAAAUGCGUAGAUAUCGAGAGGAACACUCGUGGCGAAGGCGGGUUCCUGGACAUUAACUGACGCUGAGGCACGAAGGCCAGGGGAGCGAAAGGGAUUAGAUACCCCAGUAGUC